RNAcentral lists this ribosomal RNA (253 nucleotides) under uncultured bacterium. RNAcentral describes it as "partial 16S ribosomal RNA". It matches the Rfam family "Bacterial small subunit ribosomal RNA", at positions 524 to 776 of the family's 1533-position model. The record is from RNAcentral.
GACAGAGGGUGCAAACGUUGUUCGGAAUUACUGGGCGUAAAGCGAGUGUAGGCGGUCUUGUAAGUCGGGUGUGAAAGCCCCGGGCUCAACCCGGGAAGUGCACUCGAAACUGCGAGGCUAGAGUAUCGGAGAGGUUGGUGGAAUUCUCGGUGUAGAGGUGAAAUUCGUAGAUAUCGAGAGGAACACCGGUGGCGAAGGCGGCCAACUGGACGAAUACUGACGCUGAGACUCGAAAGCGUGGGGAGCAAACAGG